UACGAAGGGGGCUAGCGUUGCUCGGAAUCACUGGGCGUAAAGGGUGCGUAGGCGGGUCUUAAGUCAGGGGUGAAAUCCUGGAGCUCAACUCCAGAACUGCCUUUGAUACUGGAGAGCUUGAGUCCGGAAGAGGUGAGUGGAACUCCGAGUGUAGAGGUGAAAUUCGUAGAUAUUCGGAAGAACACCAGUGGCGAAGGCGGCUCACUGAUCCGGUACUGACGCUGAUGUGCGAAAGCGUGGGGAGCAAACAGG
This 252-nucleotide ribosomal RNA is filed under the name uncultured bacterium. Its description in RNAcentral is "partial 16S ribosomal RNA". It matches the Rfam family "Bacterial small subunit ribosomal RNA", at positions 524 to 776 of the family's 1533-position model. The record is from RNAcentral.